GACGAACGCUGGCGGCGUGCUUAACACAUGCAAGUCGAACGGUAAGGCCCUUCGGGGUACACGAGUGGCGAACGGGUGAGUAACACGUGGGUGGUCUGCCCUGCACUUCGGGAUAAGCCUGGGAAACUGGGUCUAAUACCGGAUAGGACCACUGCCUGCAUGGGUGGUGGUGGAAAGCUUUUGCGGUGUGGGAUGGGCCCGCGGCCUAUCAGCUUGUUGGUGGGGUGAUGGCCUACCAAGGCGACGACGGGUAGCCGGCCUGAGAGGGUGACCGGCCACACUGGGACUGGGAUACGACCCAGACUCCUACGGGAGGCAGCAGUGGGGAAUAUUGCACAAUGGGCGCAAGCCUGAUGCAGCGACGCCGCGUGAGGGAUGACGGCCUUCGGGUUGUAAACCUCUUUCAGCACCGACGAAGCGCAAGUGACGGUAGAUGCAGAAGAAGGACCGGCCAACUACGUGCCAGCAGCCGCAGUAA
Molecule: ribosomal RNA, 478 nt
Filed under: uncultured bacterium
Lineage: Bacteria
Description: partial 16S ribosomal RNA
Rfam family: Bacterial small subunit ribosomal RNA
Source: RNAcentral